GCCGAGCUCAGUUGCGUGAGCUUGUAACCCGAGUGGAGGCAAUAAAGUGAUGUGGAUGCUGUUGUAGUGCUGCGGGCCUGGUCUAGUUGUGCUACCGCUGGCCCGCCUGUACCAAGUUGAGUAGUGGACCGCUUGAGGCCUAUGCGAAAGCUGGGCCUCACGGUUCAUAAUGUGGCAGCCACAGUGUGAGGCUGGCUUCACAGAGUAGCGACAACUGCCUCCUUCCAACGGUGGAAGGAUAACGGGCCGCUACACUCCUAGACUUGGGCCUCAGCAGCCUACUCUAGCGAACCAUCACUUUU
RNAcentral lists this signal recognition particle RNA (302 nucleotides) under Triticum aestivum (bread wheat). RNAcentral describes it as "SRP RNA Plant_SRP". It matches the Rfam family "Plant signal recognition particle RNA". Lineage: Eukaryota; Viridiplantae; Streptophyta; Magnoliopsida; Poales; Poaceae. The record is from Rfam by way of RNAcentral.